AACGAACGCUGGCGGCAGGCCUAACACAUGCAAGUCGAGCGAGCAUUUCGGUGCUAGCGGCGGACGGGUGAGUAACGCGUGGGAACGUGCCCUUUUCUGCGGAAUAGUCCUGGGAAACUGGGGGUAAUACCGCAUACGCCCUUUUGGGGAAAGAUUUAUCGGAGAAGGAUCGGCCCGCGUUGGAUUAGGUAGUUGGUGGGGUAAUGGCCCACCAAGCCGACGAUCCAUAGCUGGUUUGAGAGGAUGAUCAGCCACACUGGGACUGAGACACGGCCCAGACUCCUACGGGAGGCAGCAGUGGGGAAUCUUAGACAAUGGGGGCAACCCUGAUCUAGCCAUGCCGGGUGAGUGAUGAAGGCCUUAGGGUUGUAAAGCUCUUUCAGCUGGGAAGAUAAUGACGGUACCAGCAGAAGAAGCCCCGGCUAACUCCGUG
RNAcentral lists this ribosomal RNA (433 nucleotides) under uncultured bacterium. RNAcentral describes it as "partial 16S ribosomal RNA". It matches the Rfam family "Bacterial small subunit ribosomal RNA", at positions 29 to 507 of the family's 1533-position model. The record is from RNAcentral.